This 446-nucleotide ribosomal RNA is filed under the name uncultured bacterium. RNAcentral's name for it is "bacterial SSU rRNA". It matches the Rfam family "Bacterial small subunit ribosomal RNA", at positions 329 to 792 of the family's 1533-position model. The record is from RNAcentral.
CCCCAGACUCCUACGGGAGGCAGCAGUGGGGAAUAUUGCACAAUGGGGGGAACCCUGAUGCAGCAACGCCGCGUGGGUGAAGAAGUACUCCGGUAUGUAAAGCCCUGUCAGCAGGGAAGAAAAUGACGGUACCUGACCAAGAAGCCCCGGCUAACUACGUGCCAGCAGCCGCGGUAAUACGUAGGGGGCAAGCGUUAUCCGGAUUUACUGGGUGUAAAGGGAGCGUAGACGGCUGUGCAAGUCUGAAGUGAAAGCCCAGGGCUCAACCCUGGGACUGCUUUGGAAACUGUGGAGCUAGAGUGCUGGAGAGGUAAGUGGAAUUCCUAGUGUAGCGGUGAAAUGCGUAGAUAUUAGGAGGAACACCAGUGGCGAAGGCGGCUUACUGGACAGUAACUGACGUUGAGGCUCGAAAGCGUGGGGAGCAAACAGGAUUAGAUACCCCCGUA